AAGGGGUCUAGAUCGCCUGGGUCCCUGGCGCUCCUGGGGAAUGUCUGCUGAAGAGAAGAGCCCUGAUUCCUGGCCAGCUGGACUGCAGGUGAAGAGCCCCCCAUAUACCUUCCACUCCAGCCUGGAGAUGCAGGGGACUCCUCCCUCCAGCCCCAAGCUGGUGAUCCUGACUCUGGGGGCGGUCGCAGUCCUCACCAUCAGCAUCAUAGGGGUCCUUGUGGCAACAUAUCUCGGGCGAACUACCUGCCUCCAGCGAGAUGCCUACGGCUACCUGCCUACGCAGGUGAACGUCCAGAACGAAGCGUCGCUGCUCCUGGCUCUCAGCGAACUGGGAGAACAGGGCGUUGCGCCAGGGAUAACCUGUGACCUAAGAAAUCACCUGAUGGUGUAUCACGGGCAGCCAGAAGGGUGCGUGGCCCGGAAGAUGGAACCCUCCGACCAGCUGCCAUCCUGCCAGGAGCUGGAAAGCUACUUCCAGGCUGUAUUGAGAAACGCCACACUGGGGAUUACCUCGGAUGUUCAGAGCAUGGGGACUGGCUCCCUGGGCAGCCUGACCACCCUGCUUUGCAGCAACAAACCCACGUAUUUGAUCACAGCCUUUGCACCUUCCCCCAGGCAUCACAUAAGCAUGGCUGCUUAGCAAGCCCACGGCUCAUGCAGGGAACACCAGACUGCAAAUCCAGCUGUCCCGACUUACUGUAUUAAUUCCAACUGCAUCCAUCUGGGAUGGCCACGCACACGUCAGAGUUUCUAGCCUUGGGUUCUAUCUUUCGGGGGAGAACCGACAACUAACAAGUGUGGGAUUCUGUAUCACUGCUUUGCCCGAGAUAAUCAGUAGCAAUAAAAUACAGAGAUGUGACA
This 861-nucleotide long non-coding RNA is filed under the name Gopherus agassizii (Agassiz's desert tortoise). RNAcentral describes it as "lncRNA (ENSGAGG00000005648.1)". The record is from RNAcentral. Lineage: Eukaryota; Metazoa; Chordata; Testudines; Testudinidae.